This 242-nucleotide long non-coding RNA is filed under the name Zostera marina. Its description in RNAcentral is "long non-coding RNA (ZMAR_LNC001661)". Lineage: Eukaryota; Viridiplantae; Streptophyta; Magnoliopsida; Alismatales; Zosteraceae. The record is from RNAcentral.
CGAGAUCGAAACGAUUGCAAGUCUGACACGAAAGGGAAGCGCCCAUGCUCUCCUUCACCAGACAGCGACAAUAGCGAGGACCACCCACGGAAAACCAUUCACAAGCUAUUUGGUGGUAGACCCGCAGGAAGGCUAGCAUAACUAAGAGGAGUAGGAAUAAGCUGUCACCCAAAAGUCCUUGCAUCUGGCACACGGACAAUGUACAGCAACAUCGCGCUUAGUAUUAAGCGCGCUAGAGCCUC